GAUGAAGAACGUAGCGAAAUGCGAUAAGUAAUGUGAAUUGCAGAAUUCAGUGAAUCAUCGAAUCUUUGAACGCACAUUGCGCCCCUUGGUAUUCCGAGGGGCAUGCCUGUUCGAGCGUCAUUAUAACCCCUCAAGCUCAGCUUGGUGUUGGGGCCUGCUGCACUGGCAGCCCUUAAAAUCAGUGGCGGCGCCAUCUGGCUCUACGCGUAGUAAUUCUUCUCGCUAUGGAGUCCUGGUGGAUGCUUGCCAUCAACCCCCAAUUUUUCUAUGGUUGACCUCGGAUCAGGUAGGGAUACCCGCUGAACUUAAGCAUAUCAAUAAGCGGAGGA
This 329-nucleotide unclassified non-coding RNA is filed under the name soil metagenome. RNAcentral describes it as "partial contains 5.8S ribosomal RNA, internal transcribed spacer 2, and large subunit ribosomal RNA". The stretch from base 1 to 120 matches the Rfam family "5.8S ribosomal RNA", at positions 35 to 154 of the family's 154-position model. The record is from RNAcentral.